AACGACCGUCGCCUCCAAAUAAAUUCAACAACUACGUAUUCCUCAGACAAAUUUAUAGGAAUAACAAAAAAAAAUUAUUAAAAGAAAUUUAGACCUACGACGGUUCUAAAACGGCCGUCCCCCAAAUUCUUUAAGAAUCCGCGUGGACCAAAAGUUAAAUAGACGAAAGGAAAAGUUCUUUUAAGAACAACAUCUUUUCAGCUUCUUCUUUUCAUCACUGGAAAGCUUGAAACAACCACCACCACACACCACUGCAGAAACCCUAACGCCACCUUCCCUUGUAUUUCCAUCUUAUAAAUAAUGAGUAAUUCAAUUCUGUACUUUACCCAACCCUAAUUUUUGUUUUGAUUUUAGUUUCCAUUUGAUUUUCUGCUCACUAUAUUUCUAGGUUUUAAUUUUGAUUUUGGUUUCAAUUUGGUGCUCACUAUAUUUCCAAGUUUCAAUAUCAGUUUCAAUAUUGAUUUCGAUUUCCAUUUUUUUCACUACAUCUUCAGAUUCUGUUUUCAAUUUCCAGGUUUCGACUUCAAUUUCAGUUUCCAAGUUUCGAUUUCAAUAUGGGCUGAAGUGCACUUAAUUAUUUUGUUGAUUUAUGGUGUUCUUCUGACUUAAUUUGGCAGUUGAAUUAUUCUCUAUUGGAGUGAGAAUAUAGAAUCUUAAAAAGUUCCCAUAGGAGCCAUGAGGUUCAGGAACUUUUGAAGAUGAAAGUAAGGAAACAUCUGCAUUUCUUGGUUGUACUAAUGAGUGGACCAAACACAAUUGUCCUCAACAUACACGAUACUGUUACAAGUCACCGGAUAAAUGUGACCGGAAGUUAUACACUUCAGUUGUUUCAAGUUACUAAAGUUUUGCAAGAAGAUUCUAACAUGAACUUUAUGCUGCCCUAGAUUUACUGCAAUGUUUCAAGUUACUCAAGUUUUGCAAUAUGAUCCCGACAUGAGCCAUAUUAAGUUCUAUCAUGUUUCUAUAUUUCCUUUCCUUUUUGUGUCCAUGAUGUAACUUCAGUACUUUAAUAUCAUAUAAACUAGUUUCAUUCUACAUGUGUAGGGCAUCCCCAAUGGGGAUUGGUUUUAACCAACAUGAUGUUGCGGGAUUUGCGGCGAAAACAAAAUUUAAGAGACAGAGGACGGACAAUUGCUCACUUGCAUUCAGUGUGAACAUAAAUAGUGGAAAAAACAAUCAACUUUUCUUGUCUGAACGAGAUAGUUGAUCUUCAUUUAUUCAUAUAAGAUAUGAUAAUUCAUUCUCAAAGCUGAAUGAAUCCCAAGAUGACACUAAUUCAAGCUGUGUUAGUAUGAUGGAUUGCAAUCAUGCUGAUAUCAAACUUAUUUGGGGACCUUCAGGACAGGGAAAACAGAGACAAUUGCAUGCUUAUUAUUUUCACUACUCAAGUUAAAAACAAGAACAUUGGUAUGUGCUCCAACUAAUACUGCAAUUUUGGAAGUAGCAAUUUUGGAAGACAAUUGCUGUUAUUUUUGAGAUAAUUCAAAACCUUUAUAAAGGUCAAUUUUUAUUUUCUUUUAAACUAUUAUGUAGUAUGUAAACCCUCCUCCGGGCACUGUUAUUUCUUUUCUUUUAAAGUUUUCAUGUUAUAUCAAGAUUUUGAUUUUCUUUGUAUUCGUUGAAGCUGUCUUUGAUUUCUAUCAGAAAAUUUUAUAGUGUAUCGGUUAUGGCAAUAGCAAUAAGGAAUACUUUAUAAUAUUUAUAGAUUUGAAAUAGAGUUAGAAUUUAGUUUUUUUUUUA
Molecule: long non-coding RNA, 1740 nt
Organism: Lathyrus oleraceus (garden pea)
Lineage: Eukaryota; Viridiplantae; Streptophyta; Magnoliopsida; Fabales; Fabaceae
Exons: 2
Source: RefSeq, a predicted model, not a curated record